Molecule: ribosomal RNA, 465 nt
Filed under: Vreelandella stevensii
Lineage: Bacteria; Pseudomonadati; Pseudomonadota; Gammaproteobacteria; Oceanospirillales; Halomonadaceae
Description: partial 16S ribosomal RNA
Rfam family: Bacterial small subunit ribosomal RNA
Source: RNAcentral
CCUACGGGUGGCAGCAGUGGGGAAUAUUGGACAAUGGGGGGAACCCUGAUCCAGCCAUGCCGCGUGUGUGAAGAAGGCCCUCGGGUUUUAAAGCACUUUCAGUGAGGAAGAACGCCUGGUGGUUAAUACCCAUCAGGAAAGACAUCACUCACAGAAGAAGCACCGGCUAACUCCGUGCCAGCAGCCGCGGUAAUACGGAGGGUGCGAGCGUUAAUCGGAAUUACUGGGCGUAAAGCGCGCGUAGGUGGCUUGAUAAGCCGGUUGUGAAAGCCCCGGGCUCAACCUGGGCACGGCAUCCGGAACUGUCAAGCUAGAGUGCAGGAGAGGAAGGUAGAAUUCCCGGUGUAGCGGUGAAAUGCGUAGAGAUCGGGAGGAAUACCAGUGGCGAAGGCGGCCUUCUAGACUGACACUGACACUGAGGUGCGAAAGCGUGGGUAGCAAACAGGAUUAGAUACCCCUGUAGUC